RNAcentral lists this transfer RNA (76 nucleotides) under Deltaproteobacteria bacterium. RNAcentral's name for it is "tRNA-His". It matches the Rfam family "tRNA". From Rfam's summary of the family: Transfer RNA (tRNA) molecules are approximately 80 nucleotides in length. Their secondary structure includes four short double-helical elements and three loops (D, anti-codon, and T loops). Further hydrogen bonds mediate the characteristic L-shaped molecular structure. tRNAs have two regions of fundamental functional importance: the anti-codon, which is responsible for specific mRNA codon recognition, and the 3' end, to which the tRNAs corresponding amino acid is attached (by aminoacyl-tRNA synthetases). tRNAs cope with the degeneracy of the genetic code in two manners: having more than one tRNA (with a specific anti-codon) for a particular amino acid; and 'wobble' base-pairing, i.e. permitting non-standard base-pairing at the 3rd anti-codon position. Lineage: Bacteria; Pseudomonadati; Myxococcota; Myxococcia. The record is from RNAcentral.
GUGGACGUAGCUCAGUUGGUAGAGCUCCGCACUGUGACUGCGGCCGUCGUGGGUUCAAAUCCCAUCGUCCACCCCA